Long non-coding RNA from Cuculus canorus (common cuckoo), 1042 nucleotides. RefSeq lists it as uncharacterized. NCBI's taxonomy places the organism in Eukaryota, Metazoa, Chordata, Aves, Cuculiformes, Cuculidae. The record is from RefSeq and is a predicted model, not a curated record. The transcript has 3 exons.
UGCUAUGGUGGUGGACUGGGGAACUUGAGCCUGAAGCCAAGGUUAAGACAUUGUUAUAGCCAGAGGACUUUGAACUUUUGUGUUUCUUCUUUGCUUUCCCGCCUCUUGAAGAGUGUGACAAUGCUGUUCUGUGCUGUAAGAAGGACCAGCAGGCAAAGUGGCUCUGAGACACCUUGAGUUGACACGAAUGGCUGAAUAGGACACUGACUAAACUGGAAAGCAGUAAUUAAAAGGAUUGUGCUUGGUUAUGUUUGUGUUCCCUUUUCUAUAUUGUCCUCAUACUUAGAAACAGAUGUAAUUAUGGACACAAUAUUCAAAAGAAAGCAGUACUCCAGAACUGAAUUUUUAAUUGGUUCACAUAUGUGCAAAAAAAUUCUUUUCACUGUGUAGUGUGCAAAAUAUUUACAUACUUUAUGGACAUAAUUUUUAACACCACUUUUCAUUUGCUCAUUUUUAUUUUGAUGAUGAAUUUUAUAGGAAGACCACAAAGCAAGCAAAAGAAAACAAGAACUAGAUGAAGUACUGUUAUAUGUGAAGUUUCAUAUUUGGCCAGAUGAGAUUAAUGGACCUGGCCUGUGGCUCAUACAUUACCCUCCCUAGCUAGCCAGAAAUGAAAUGUCAUGUGCUUCAACUUAUACUUUAUUGUUUUUAAUUUAUCACCUAUCUUUGGAAAGGACAGAGAAUCAAUGUCAUUCCAUCAGGCUGUAUCUUUUAUUUCAUGACUGUGAACCCUGACUAGGCUGGUCUUUGAUGAAACACUUCAUGUUAAAUACUCAACCAACAGAUGAGAACAUGUCUUCUGGGUCUAAGGAGCCAAUAGUAUACAGACAGUAAUUAAUGACUAUAGAUUUACAGACUAAAGGUGUGAUGAGAACCAACAGGUUGACUGUACCAGAAGACACUGCUGGUGAAGGAGAAAAGGACACACGGCACUGACAGCAUUUCAGAGUCUGACCUCUUUCUGGAUGAUAUAGCACGAAGAUUAUUUAGGCUGGCAAAGCAAGAAGAAAAAGCGUAACCAAACUGCAUUUAUGGAUCUAUU